This 459-nucleotide ribosomal RNA is filed under the name uncultured bacterium. RNAcentral's name for it is "partial 16S ribosomal RNA". It matches the Rfam family "Bacterial small subunit ribosomal RNA", at positions 338 to 795 of the family's 1533-position model. The record is from RNAcentral.
CCUACGGGUGGCAGCAGUGAGGAAUAUUGGUCAAUGGGCGCGAGCCUGAACCAGCCAAGUCGCGUGAGGGAAGACGGUCCUAUGGAUUGUAAACUUCUUUUAUCUGGGAGCAAAAGACGCCACGUGUACCGUUCCGCGAGUACCAUAUGAAAAAGCAUCGGCUAACUCCGUGCCAGCAGCCGCGGUAAUACGGAGGAUGCGAGCGUUAUCCGGAUUUAUUGGGUUUAAAGGGUGCGCAGGCGGACGAUUAAGUCAGUGGUAAAAUUGAGGGGCUAAACCUCUUAGAGCAGUUGAAACUGGGUUUCUUGAGUGAGCGAGAAGUAUGCGGAAUGCGUGGUGUAGCGGUGAAAUGCAUAGAUAUCACGCAGAACUCCGAUUGCGAAGGCAGCAUACCGGCGCUCAACUGACGCUGAUGCACGAAAGUGUGGGUAUCGAACAGGAUUAGAUACCCGAGUAGUC